Molecule: small RNA, 1444 nt
Filed under: Agrobacterium tumefaciens
Lineage: Bacteria; Pseudomonadati; Pseudomonadota; Alphaproteobacteria; Hyphomicrobiales; Rhizobiaceae
Description: bacterial LSU rRNA
Rfam family: Bacterial large subunit ribosomal RNA (bases 1142-1444)
Source: RNAcentral
GCGCUAACCGCAAGGAAGGCAGCUAACCACGGUAGGGUCAGCGACUGGGGUGAAGUCGUAACAAGGUAGCCGUAGGGGAACCUGCGGCUGGAUCACCUCCUUUCUAAGGAAGCUGUGGAAUUGGUAAGACACCUGUCUAGAACAGGAUGAACCUUCCCGUGCUUUUUAGAACAUAGAUGGCGCCAGUCAGGUGACCAUCGAAACGUAAUACGCCACGGAAUUACUUCGGUAAUCGGAUUGGUAUGGCGAGGUUCGCCGUCCACGUUUCUCUUUCUUCAAGAAGACAAAAGCCGCAUCGACCGGUACCGGAAUGGGCCCGUAGCUCAGUUGGUUAGAGCACACGCUUGAUAAGCGUGGGGUCGGAAGUUCAAGUCUUCCCGGGCCCACCAUUUGCAUAUGCGAAUGAGGGUUUGGGUUGAGACUGUUGGUUGAUGCGAAUUGUUGCCGCGCCUGGUUGAUGAGACCUGGGUGAUCGAGCUGGAUGGGGCUGUAGCUCAGCUGGGAGAGCACCUGCUUUGCAAGCAGGGGGUCAGCGGUUCGAUCCCGCUCAGCUCCACCAUUUAUUUGCGCUCACGGGUGAGCGGUCCUUCGGACCUACCCUCCGCGAGGGCGCCGAACGAUCGGCGACGCGCUAUCGCGCUGUACUGGAGAAUUGAUCCGGCUGCUCGAAUUGUCUUCUGAAGAAAUAAAGGUUUGCAUCUUUUGCUAAGAAAGAUGCCUGUUUUGGAUACAUUGUGAAGAGAAGAUAUGUCUGGAAGCGUCCAGGUGUUUUGAGCCCUUGUGGUUUGAAGCGUCCGAGCCCAGUCCCUGAGAAACCGUGUGAUGGCUAAGUCGGCCGGAAUUGGUGGAGGGUUGGAGGUAGGAAGGAUCGCUUGUCCGAGGCAUGUUUGUUGUUUGAAGGUUUAGGCCUUCAUCUGAUGGACAUGCUGGAUUGAUGUUGCCUGACCGCGCAUCACCGGAUGAUAUCUCGAGAAGCUGGUCUUAAUGAUACGACCUCGAAGUGCACCGGCGUGCCUUCAUAUGAGGAUUGUAUCGAACACGUCGAUGUCAUCGUGACUUGAUCUGGUUGUAAAAGGUAACCGGAUCUGCCGGUCAUUCCUUCGGAAUGACGGCUUGAUGAUGAGCAUAGACAAUGAGAACGAAGAAGUGAAUUAAGGGCAUUUGGUGGAUGCCUUGGCAUGCACAGGCGAAGAAGGACGUGAUACGCUGCGAAAAGCCGUGGGGAGCUGCGAAUAAGCUUUGAUCCAUGGAUCUCCGAAUGGGGCAACCCACCUUAAAUGCUUGGGAAAUCUGUUUUGUUGGCUGGAUGGUCUGUUUGGGUUUACCCAUACAGGGCGCUAGCCCGUCGGUGCUUUUGCACCGCGCCGUCCGCAGGCCUUUGGCCGUGAGGACAGAACUGAACAGGUUUCCAAGCAUUGUGAUAAGGUAUGCUUACUUUCGAAUA